GCUUGAACCUCUUGACCUUGACCACAAAGAUUGAACUAGGAGGUUUAAAACACCAGAGACAGAAUUUAAAAUUUACUACUCCUACUACUGCCACCGUUAAUAACAAUAGUAAACAAUGUACUGCGUGCACGCAGCAUAUCCAGUUCUAAGAAGGAGUUUAUGAUCUCAUUGGAGAGAUAAGAUCUGCACAGUCCCUGGAGAACAUCAGGAUUGGAUACAGAAUGAAGAGCAGAAAUGGGCCAGAGGAGACACGGAAGUCCUGUGGAAAAUAACAAAAUGUUGCUUAACAUCUCAACACUCAAGAAAAAUGUGAAGCUGGGAAAGUAGACUUGGUGGUCUUCAGAACCUGCUGGUGCUAUGCUUGGUCUUCCACCACCACAGGGAAAACAGCCCCCCUCCAGCUUGCAAGGUUGCUUUUCAAGAGGCAG
Homo sapiens (human) is the source of this 428-nucleotide long non-coding RNA. RefSeq lists it as uncharacterized. NCBI's taxonomy places the organism in Eukaryota, Metazoa, Chordata, Mammalia, Primates, Hominidae. The transcript has 4 exons. The record is from RefSeq and is a predicted model, not a curated record.